RNA transcript from Dicentrarchus labrax (European seabass), 3362 nucleotides. It is a transcript of the gene named bromodomain-containing protein 8, with no coding region annotated. The record is from RefSeq and is a predicted model, not a curated record. NCBI's taxonomy places the organism in Eukaryota, Metazoa, Chordata, Actinopteri, Moronidae. The transcript is spliced from 18 exons.
GUUGUACCAUCAGUAAGCGACUGUGAUGGGCGUGUACCAACACUUCGCUGCUAGCUAAAAUGAUAAAUAACGUUAGUGACCACUGUGAGCUAAAUGUUGUCGUCGGACUGAUACUUGGUAGUGUGAGCCAUAGACAUAUAAUACAUACAUACACAUAAUGUAUUACAUAUCUACGGCGUAGACUCUGUUGAAGUUAGGGCGACAUCAAAAACCGUAAGCGAGUCUUUACAGAGAAAAGCCCUUGGUGUAGCAUUUGAGCUAGCUAGUUAAUCUUUAAGUUACCAAUAGCUGAGACCCACGAGACUUUAAGGGACCACGGUGAUUCAGCGAGCUCGCUACAAAGAGAGACCCCGAGAGCCUCAACACCCACAACGAAACAUUCAUUGAUGUUAACGUCUGUCACUUCAUGUGUGUCGCUUUCGGAUCGCCCCAGUGUUUUUAUUAAUUGCCUGGUUUCCAUCCUCCAAGAUGUAUGGGAUGUCGGGAUGACAGGAAGAUGGCAAACGGGGUUGGAAAGCACAAGCUACUUGUCAUUGGACCAACAGAGCCAUGGUCAGUGAGGGAAAAGCUGUGUUUGGCCACAUCUGUCAUGAAGAGUGGAGACCAGAACUGGGUAUCUGUCAGUCGAGCCCUCAAACCGUUUGCAGAAUCUGGGCGACCACCUGACUGGUUCUCUCAAAAGCACUGUGCAUCCAAGUACUCUGAGCUCCUGGAAACAACAGAGGCCCCAAAGCGGAAACGUGGUGAGAAAGGUGAAGUGGUGGAGACGGUGGAGGAUGUGAUAGUACGCAGGCUGACAGCUGACAGGAUCGAUGAACUAAAAAAGCUGAUAAUAGAAACACAGGAAAAGCACAGGAAGCUGAAGAGAGAGGCUGAACUCAUCCAAGCAGGACAUCUAGAUUCCAAACUAGAGGAGUUAUGGGAAGAAAUCCUGCAGAAGAAGAAACUGGAGGAGGAAGAAGCAGAGAUAAAAAGAAAAAACACAGAUGCUGCCUAUCAGGCCAGACAGGUGGCAAAGAACACGCCAAAGCGAGUGCCUGGCAUCACCAUGCAUUCGCCCUCAGGCUGUAGCUCCCCAAGCCAGGAGUUCUCACCAAGUGACCCACUCGAGUGCUUGACACUGGAUCUCGCAUCGACAAAGAAUGCUUCAGGAUCAGCCAGAUUAAUGACAAUUUCUGAGUCUUCUGGACCUGACAUCAGCCACGGGUCACUUCUGGAUGACCCCACCCAAAAGAAGCUGCAGGGCCAGAAAGCCACACCACCACCAUCUCCACUCCUGUCAGAGUUACUGAAGAAAGGCAGUAUCUUGGCCACAAAUUCCAGACUGAUUGGGGAGGGUGACGUGCCCACUGGUAAUAUGACAGGAGCACAUGACUUGCAGCUGGCUCCGCCUAGUCAACUUCUCUCUCAGGCAACAGGUGCCCCGAUGUUGUCUCGUCUCCUGGAGGCGGGUCCCACCCAGUUUUGUGCCUCAUUAGGUUUCAUGGUCAGUGCAGACUCAUCCUCCAGUGCUCCUCUCUCUGCUGCCACUCCCGUUCCUGUUGACUCUGCUGCCUCAGCAAGUACAGAGAUGGAUGUGAUGGUGCCGUCUGUGCCCCCUGGAUGCGAGCCUGUCUCUGCAGAGGAUAAGGUGUCAGAGCUCAGUGAGGAGGAUGUGACUGUGUCCUACAUGGGAGAUGAGCUGGAUCUGAAGACAGUUGGGGACAUUAUCGCCAUCAUUGAGGACAAGGGGAGAAAGGCUGAGGAUGGAAUAAGUGUUGGGCGAGGACAGAAUGCCUCAGGGACUAAAGUGCACAAUGAGGUCAACGGGCCAGAAGUGUGUGGAGAAGAGGAGGGUGAGGGAUUCUUGUCAGAGCCAGAUGGGGAAAUGGAGCUAGAACCUGCGGCCAGCGAGAGCGAGGACGGAUACAGCCUCCACACGGCUUCCUCUUCUCUGCAGCUCCACACGACCGCAGACUCCAUCCCCAGCAGCCCUGCCUCAUCGCAAUUUUCUGUGUGCAGUGAAGAUCUGGAAGCUCUACAAGCUCACAAGAUCUGGAAGAAAGCCAUUAUGCUGGUGUGGCGUGCAGCGGCCAAUCACAGGUAUGCAAAUGUCUUCCUGCAGCCAGUAACAGAUGAAAUUGCACCUGGGUACCACAGUAUUGUGCACAGGCCAAUGGACCUGGCCACCAUAAAAAAGAACAUUGAGACCGGUUUGAUACGGACCACCGCUGAGUUCCAGAGGGACAUCAUGCUGAUGUUUCAGAAUGCGGUCAUGUACAACAGCCUGGAUCAUGACGUGUACCACAUGGCCCUGGAGAUGCAGCGUGACGUCCUGGAGCAGAUCCAGCAGUUUCUAGCCACCCAGCUCAUCAUGGAGACAUCAGAGUCUGGUAUCAGCGCCAAAAGCCUGAGGGGCCGUGAGAGCACACGCAAACAGGACUCUACUGACAAGGUGCUUCACUAGAAUUUUGAAAAAAGCAGAGAGUACAGAAGAAGAGACAAGGGACACUGUCUCCAUGUCCUCUCCUGCCUUCCUUCUUUCUCUUUUUGAUGGCGGCACCAGAGGGCGCCGUUGUGCCAUAGAAGCCGACCUCAAGAUGAAGAAAUGAACAUGCAGUAUGAAAAUGAUCUGACAGUGUCCCUGAGUUGAAGUGAAAGGUGUGAUACCACAAGACUGAACGUAUCUUCUGUCAUUUGCACAGAGUCUCACCCUGCAUAAUGUGCAGUGUAGCCUUCACUUGCACUCUACAUUAAAUGGGUAGACUAUGAUGUGGAGAAGCUCUCAUUUCUUCUGAGACAGCCAUGCAGACAUGGAUUACAUACUGUAUAAUCCCAGAUUACAAUGGGGCAUUCAGAAAGACUAGGUCAAAGCUUUCCCAUAGUUGCAGAUCAGUAAGACUUAUCCUGCUCUAAAUUACAUCAGGUUGUAGAAAUGAAGAUAAAAGUUACUCCGAGCCUACAAAUGGUCUGAAAUUAAGCCUACAGGGGACCUGGUUGAAUCUCAGAUUAGUGUGGUUGAUUUAAAGAAAUAAACCAUGUUGGUGAUCAAUAUGUAAAACCAGAGGCCAAAGAGUACGAUUAACCUAGAAUUUCUGAAUGAUCAGGGGUACACAUACUAAUUUCAACAACAUUGUCAUUGCUGGUAUGAAAUCGGUUGAGUUUUUUUGUUCUUUUCUUUUUUCUAAUUUUAAAAACUUUGAGAUCACUUUUAAAUAUGGCUGUAUCGUUUGUGAUUAAUUGAUUUUAUCUACGCUACACUUAUUGUGAAACAGAACCUACGUGCAUACUCAUUUUCAGUAUUUUUGAGCAAACGUCACGUCAAUGAACUGUUUUGUGGACUUAAAAUGUUUGAACAAUAAAAUGUCAGAAAGAGCCCUCAA